This 189-nucleotide unclassified non-coding RNA is filed under the name uncultured Ceramothyrium. RNAcentral's name for it is "sequence contains ITS2". Lineage: Eukaryota; Fungi; Ascomycota; Eurotiomycetes; Chaetothyriales; Chaetothyriaceae. The record is from RNAcentral.
UCACCUCUCAAGCCUGGCUUGGUGUUGGACCGUGGGUCUGUGACCGGACCCUGGCCCCAAAGACAAUGACGGCGGCGGUAGGACCCUCGGCACACUGAGCUUCUCACCAAGCACGUGUCGAGUCGCAAGGUCCCUUCUGCCCGGUCUACCCUUUUCUCGCCGUGACCCGGCGAGGGAACACUUUCUCAA